This 216-nucleotide non-coding RNA is filed under the name Roseibium sp. TrichSKD4. RNAcentral also lists the same sequence under 1 other name. The record is from RNAcentral. Lineage: Bacteria; Pseudomonadati; Pseudomonadota; Alphaproteobacteria; Hyphomicrobiales; Stappiaceae.
AUAAACACGAACGGUCACGGUUUUUCGGUGCGCGUUGUGCCGGAAAAGAAACGGGAAUUCGGUGCGUGAGGGCUGUCCUUGCAAUUCCGAAGCUGCCCCCGCAACUGUUGGCGGUGAGCGACCUGCGACGCCCACUGGCUUUUCAAAAAGGCUGGGAAGGGGCAGGUGCCGCGCUGAGCCGCAAGCCAGGAGACCGGCCGUGACUUGGUCAACUCA